RNAcentral lists this ribosomal RNA (443 nucleotides) under uncultured bacterium. RNAcentral's name for it is "partial 16S ribosomal RNA". It matches the Rfam family "Bacterial small subunit ribosomal RNA", at positions 338 to 795 of the family's 1533-position model. The record is from RNAcentral.
CCUACGGGAGGCAGCAGUGGGGAAUAUUGGACAAUGGGGGGAACCCUGAUCCAGCGACGCCGCGUGAGUGAAGAAGUAUUUCGGUAUGUAAAGCUCUAUCAGCAGGGAAGAAAGAAAUGACGGUACCUGACUAAGAAGCCCCGGCUAACUACGUGCCAGCAGCCGCGGUAAUACGUAGGGGGCAAGCGUUAUCCGGAUUUACUGGGUGUAAAGGGAGCGUAGACGGCGAUGCAAGUCUGAAGUGAAAGGCGGGGGCCCAACACCCGUACUGCUUGGGAAACGGGAUGGCUGGAGUGCAGGAGAGGUAAGUGGAAUGCUUAGUGUAGCGGUGAAAUGCGGAGAUAUUAGGAGGAACACCGGUGGCGAAGGCGGCUUACGGGACUGUAACUGACGUUGAGGCUCGAAAGCGUGGGGAGCAAACAGGAGUAGAUACCCUUGUAGUC